ACACUCCUACGGGAGGCAGCAGUGGGGAAUAUUGGACAAUGGGCGCAAGCCUGAUCCAGCCAUGCCGCGUGAGUGAUGAAGGCCCUAGGGUUGUAAAGCUCUUUCACCGGUGAAGAUAAUGACGGUAACCGGAGAAGAAGCCCCGGCUAACUUCGUGCCAGCAGCCGCGGUAAUACGAAGGGGGCUAGCGUUGUUCGGAUUUACUGGGCGUAAAGCGCACGUAGGCGGACUAUUAAGUCAGGGGUGAAAUCCCGGGGCUCAACCCCGGAACUGCCUUUGAUACUGGUAGUCUUGAGUUCGAGAGAGGUGAGUGGAAUUCCGAGUGCAGAGGUGAAAUUCGUAGAUAUUCGGAGGAACACCAGUGGCGAAGGCGGCUCACUGGCUCGAUACUGACGCUGAGGUGCGAAAGCGUGGGGAGCAAACAGGAUUAGAAACCCUUGUAGUCCC
RNAcentral lists this ribosomal RNA (447 nucleotides) under uncultured organism. RNAcentral's name for it is "partial 16S ribosomal RNA". It matches the Rfam family "Bacterial small subunit ribosomal RNA", at positions 333 to 797 of the family's 1533-position model. The record is from RNAcentral.